This 424-nucleotide ribosomal RNA is filed under the name uncultured bacterium. RNAcentral describes it as "bacterial SSU rRNA". It matches the Rfam family "Bacterial small subunit ribosomal RNA", at positions 355 to 796 of the family's 1533-position model. The record is from RNAcentral.
UGGGGAAUCUUGGACAAUGGGGGCAACCCUGAUCCAGCCAUGCCGCGUGAGUGAUGAAGGCCCUAGGGUUGUAAAACUCUUUCGCGCACGACGAUAAUGACGGUAGUGCGAGAAGAAGCUCCGGCUAACUUCGUGCCAGCAGCCGCGGUAAUACGAAGGGGGCUAGCGUUGUUCGGAUUUACUGGGCGUAAAGCGCGCGCAGGCGGUCCUUCAAGUCAGGGGUGAAAGCCCAGAGCUCAACUCUGGAACUGCCUUUGAGACUGUAGGACUUGGGUAUGGGAGAGGUGAGUGGAAUUCCGAGUGUAGAGGUGAAAUUCGUAGAUAUUCGGAAGAACACCAGUGGCGAAGGCGGCUCACUGGCCCAUUACCGACGCUCAGGCGCGAUAGCGUGGGGAGCAAACAGGAUUAGAUACCCCCGUAGUCC